RNAcentral lists this ribosomal RNA (440 nucleotides) under uncultured bacterium. RNAcentral's name for it is "partial 16S ribosomal RNA". It matches the Rfam family "Bacterial small subunit ribosomal RNA", at positions 338 to 795 of the family's 1533-position model. The record is from RNAcentral.
CCUACGGGGCGCAGCAGUGGGGAAUAUUGCACAAUGGGGGAAACCCUGAUGCAGCAACGCCGCGUGAGUGAAGACGUAUUUCGGUAUGUAAAGCUCUAUCAGCAGGGAAGAAGAUCACGGUACCUGAGUAAGAAGCCCCGGCUAACUACGUGCCAGCAGCCGCGGUACUACGUAGGGGGCAAGCGUUAUCCGGAUUUAAUGGGUGUAAAGGGAGCGUAGACGGUGAGACAAGUCCGAAGUGAAAGCCCGGGGCCGAACCCCGGGAGUGCUUUGGAAACUGCCUGACUGGAGUGCUGGAGAGGCAAGCGGAAUGCCUGGUGUAGCGGUGAAAUGCGUAGAUAUUAGGAAGAACACCAGUGGCGAAGGCGGCUUGCUGGACAGUAACUGACGUUGAGGCUCGAAAGCGUGGGGAGCAAACAGGAUUAGAUACCCGUGUAGUC